Molecule: long non-coding RNA, 3368 nt
Filed under: Hordeum vulgare
Lineage: Eukaryota; Viridiplantae; Streptophyta; Magnoliopsida; Poales; Poaceae
Description: long non-coding RNA (HVUL_LNC014419)
Source: RNAcentral
GGAUAUCAUAUUCUUGAAGGACAACACACCAAGGUAAUAGAGCAGAAUUAAACUUAAUAUGUACCUUUCUCUAGCUAGCACCAGCUUCGUCAUUGUCACAUAUGUUGUCAAGAAUAACUUGCCUCCUUGAUGUUAAGGCUUGGAAAAGGGCAUAAUCCUUCUCAUUCACCUGAAUACAAAACCAUCAGUGCACUGUACAUAGGGUGGAAUUUCUCAGAGAUUUGUUGCGACAAUAGAUAUAGGAAAGAGCUGCUACAGUCUGUUUGAUGGAAGAGUUCUCAAAAAAUUGAUCAGUCAGGCUACCAACCUGCGGUCUUGCGAUUGCAUCGUCAAGAUGCUGGAGCUCCAUCCGGUUACGCUUGUUGGUUUCUUCAAGUUCAAACAGUGCCUUCUGUAGAUUUAUGUGUUCCUGAACAUUUUCGCCAGUUUCCAGACUCAAGACAUUUAGCCAAGAUAGCUCAUUAUCUGCAGCCUUUUCAGUAGGUUUUACGCUUAACUGAUGCUCCUUGUCAACUAAUUCCUUUUUCAACUGGGAGACAUCACCCUACAAAGUGACAAGGCGACUUACUUUAGUAUUUUAUUUGGCCAACAAUUAGGUAAAACUCUAGACAUUUUUACAAGGUCAUUCAGAACUCUGCUUGGAAGUAUUGGUAUCAAUUCAAGGGCUCCAGGACAAAUUGUAGUUCAUGCCAGCUGUGAAACGAGCAGCACCUAUAGAACAACUAAAAAUCUUCAUUGGGUUUAUCGCAGUACAAAAAUGUGGAAAGAAAAAGGAGCAUGCAACUCACCAGAAAGCAGCAGCUUCACGGGGGAGCUUCAGCUGUGCGCACUUGGGGCAUCUGAAAAUAACGACCUGUUAGCAAACAACCUGAACAGAAUAGCUCGUCUAGAAAAGAAUAAUCAGAUGCGAGAGGAUGCGUCGGGGCGAGGCCGUGGGGAUGGGAAGAGGAUGGGCCGGGGCGAGGCGGUGGGGAGGGGGUGAGGAGGCGGCGUACGAGUGCUUGCGGGGGAAAGGAGACAGUGGGAAGAUCAGGCGGGGCCUCGCGCUAGCGGAGAGGAUGAACGGCAAGGGGCGGCCACCAUUGGAGGUACAUCGAGAGCUCAGCUCCACAAGAAAUGGAAGAGAGGGGGUGGCCAUCGUUGGAAUGGGGGGGGGUGACGGGAACAAAGUGAAGAGAUAAGGACAAUUUUUUUUCUUUGAGAAGAAGAUGAGGAGAACUUUUUUUUGAGAAGAAGAUGAGGAAAAUGCUCUCGAGGACGAUUUUAACAUUAUAAUUGACACUUAUUAACAUUAUAUUUUAACAUUAUAUUAACAUUAUAAUUACAUAAUGUAAUUAUGUAAGCAUUACAUUAUAUUUUAACAUUAUAAUUGACACUUAUUAACAUUAUAUUUUAACAUUAUAUUAACAUUAUAAUUACAUAAUGUAAUUAUGUAAGCAUUACAUUAUAUUUUAACAUUAUAAUUGACACUUAUUAAAAUUAAUGCCGCAUAAUGGCAAAACAAGUAGGUUAUGUACUUUUUUCUAGCCCGGUGUAACAUUGUUUCAGAUAGCUCUUUGGUCUUAUUUGACUACUGGUUGUGGUAGUGGUACAUAACACUCUGAUGUUGAAAACAUGGAUCAGGUUCUAUAGUAGCUACCUUUGAUUUAGAACCAGAGUUCAGUUGUGAUUAUAGGAUGUAAACUUUAUAUUAUUUUGCUAUCUUAUUUUGUUUGUGAAAGUAGCUGCAGCAAGUAGAAGUUUAGAUUGAUGCAAGCAAGUAAGCAACACUUUGAUUGGAAAAACUGUGUGUUGACAUAGGCUGAAGCAAGCACCUGUACUAUCUAUAUUUGUGUGAAUCUCUGUGUGUUGGUGCAACUAGCUGCAGCAGGCACCAACUUAACUUAAUGCUAGCAAUUACUUGAAACCUCGAUCUGCUCUUUCCGACUGGGUAAACAAGCCCCUCUUCGAUCUGUAUGCCUGAAUCUUUAGUUUGUGCAACUAGCUACUAGCAAGUAAUUAAAGCCAUGAUCUGCUCGUGCCGACAAAAUAAUGUUGGAAGGAACAUCCAGAUCACUCCACUAUGGGCCCACCCAGUAGCUUAUGCAUCCUAUAGUUAGCUUCUCAAGAUUAUAUGUCACUCCACUAUUUACGGUAUUGUUAUAACUCCUCCUCUUUGAUUGAACUUUGUGUUGAUUGCAUCUUUGCAAAAUCUGGAAUGUUGUUUGAACAAAGUAACCGUUGGAGUUUUAACUUCAAUUUUUGUUGUUGUUACACAAAAUUUUGCCUCCGUCGACUUUGUCUGAAGACCAUCAACCAUCGCCUAGACCUACUUCGCUGCAGGUAUCUCUUUUUCUUUGUGUAAAUUAUGAUGAAGCUAUGUUUGAUUUACAGUGAUUUACAACCAGGAUUUACUGAUGGUUAAACUAGAAAUUUAAAUUAAUUUGAGAAAGUAUUUAACACAAUUGAUCUAUUGCCAUAGACUCAAGCAAACACCUCUUCGAUUUGUACAUUUGCCAUGUUGUUUCCUUUAUCAAACUAUCUGCAGCAAGUAGUAGCUUGAAUUGAUGCAAGCAAGUAGUAGCCAUUAUGGCGGCAUGAUAAACUUGUAAUGUUCCAUCCAGAAUAUCUAGCAGCAAUAUAUAUGUACAGAAAAAAUGGUGAUCGUUUCAAUCUAUUAUAUGGUUCUAUAUAUCCAAAGGAAUUGACGCCGAUUAUUAUCCAAGAAAAGAAUGUUACCUGCCAUAGUGUGUCUUGCCAUACAAUACCGACAUAUUAUAUUUUAGAAAUGUGAUGUAAAUCUUAUUCGUUUGCAAAAAUAUGGAUGUACAGGAUGAAUGCGAACUCCGAAAAAUAAUUCUAGGACAACUGCUAACAUUCAACGACAACGAAUUUGAAGACAACAUACCUGCCGGUGUACUAGAGUUCCUCAGUUGUAUCAAGAAAACCAAAAUUAAAACUGCUAUGUAAAAUCUCCAGAUAUUUGUCUAAAUUGAUUCUAUAAGCUACUCUGGAAACUUUAUUAUUUUUUCAAGAUUUAUAUACUUCGUGCUAACUUCCAUUUUCUCUCAACAGGACAUGUGCUAUUAUGAAAAAGGAGUUUCUUUGUUGGAUAGCAACCCAUGCUGGUGGUUUCAGAUAUGAAGCUAAGAAAAGCGCGCCUCAUAAUUCAUUGGAAGUAAACCAAUAGGGUCAAUUAGAUAUCGUUGGCUGUAAAUGACAUGAGUAUUUAGCUUUCAUAAAAUCUACUUCCUUCGUCUCAUAAUUUAAGAAUGUUUUUUCUAAAAAGUUCUCGUAUUAUGGGACAUAUGUACAUAUGUACUCUUUAACAAUAAGCUAUGGAUGAGGAUGACCCUAAAUGUGCGUUGAAUUUAUCAACAUUGGUUUAU